Molecule: ribosomal RNA, 206 nt
Filed under: uncultured bacterium
Lineage: Bacteria
Description: partial 16S ribosomal RNA
Rfam family: Bacterial small subunit ribosomal RNA
Source: RNAcentral
CUCGUAGGUGGCCAACUAAGUCAGACGUGAAAUCCCUCGGCUUAACCGGGAACUGCGUCUGAUACUGGAUGGCUCGAGGUUGGGAGAGGGACGCGGAAUUCCAGGUGUAGCGGUGAAAUGCGUAGAUAUCUGGAGGAACACCGGUGGCGAAGGCGGCGUCCUGGACCAAUUCUGACACUGAGGAGCGAAAGCCAGGGGAGCAAACG